UUAGCCAUGCAAGUCUCAGUACAUGCCGCACUAAGGUGAAACCGCAAAAGGCUCAUUAAAUCAGUUAUGGUUCCUUGGAUCUUAAACAGUUACUUGGAUAACUGUGGUAAUUCUAGAGCUAAUACAUGCAAACAAGUCCCGACCAGAGAUGGGAGGGACGCUUUUAUUAGAUCAAAACCGAUCGGCGUCCGGCUCCGGCCGGCGCCGUCUCUUUUGGUGACUCUGGAUAACUUUUAGCCGAUCGCACGGUCACAGUACCGGCGACGCAUCUUUCAAAUGUCUGACUUAUCAACUGUCGAUGGUAGGCUCUGCGCCUACCAUGGUUGUAACGGGUAACGGGGAAUCAGGGUUCGAUUCCGGAGAGGGAGCCUGAGAAACGGCUACCACAUCCAAGGAAGGCAGCAGGCGCGCAAAUUACCCACUCCCGGCACGGGGAGGUAGUGACGAAAAAUAACGAUACGGGACUCAUCCGAGGCCCCGUAAUCGGAAUGAGUACACUUUAAAUACUUUAACGAGUACCAAUUGGAGGGCAAGUCUGGUGCCAGCAGCCGCGGUAAUUCCAGCUCCAAUAGCGUAUAUUAAAGUUGUUGCGGUUAAAAAGCUCGUAGUUGGAUCUGUGUGCCACGCUGUCGGUUCACCGCCCGUCGGUGUCAACUGGCAUGUCUGUGGGACGUCCUGCCGGUGGCGGUACGGGCUGCCGGCGCUGCGUAGGGGCACAACCCCGAAGCACGCCGGCGUGUCCCGGUCCGCCGAUCCAAUCCCGCCGCGGUGCUCUUCACUGAGUGUCGAGGUGGGCCGGCACGUUUACUUUGAACAAAUUAGAGUGCUCAAAUCAUGUCGUAUUUAGGCCUGAAUACUGUGU
Molecule: ribosomal RNA, 862 nt
Filed under: Platypleura hilpa
Lineage: Eukaryota; Metazoa; Arthropoda; Insecta; Hemiptera; Cicadidae
Description: SSU rRNA
Rfam family: Eukaryotic small subunit ribosomal RNA
Source: RNAcentral